GUCUAUCUGUGUGAGUGAGUGAUAUCCCAUAAUGCACUUCUCAUGAUUGCGUAGCCUCUGACACUAGCAAUCUUCUUGCAUUCUGGUAAGACUAUAGUGCAGGGCUAGGCAACCUUCGGAACUCUAAGUGUUUUGGACUACAUCUCCCAUAAUGCUGGAGAAGCAUCUGUGGGGAUGUAGUAGUUGCUAGCACCAUGUGAAGGUUUUCUACUGCCUAACAAGUCUAAUAAAUGCUGUGCAUUCCUAACAAACUCAUCUGUCUUUCGGAACACAUGCCCCUUAGUACAUGUACCAUCCUGUGCCUUAUAGCAUUUUUAUUUUUCAGAUUCGGAAUGUCCUGUUUAUUCCAGCUAAAUUUCCUGCUGGUAUGUCCUUCUGUAGGUUGUUUUUAUAAUCCCAUUAUUAUUGUGUACAUUUUCUCUGUCAUCUGUAGAUUUCUCUACAUAAAUUGGCUUAAUAAUAAUUGUAGCAUAGUCCAUAUUUAAAGGACAACCGUAAUCAAAAACUCCACAAAAUUAAUUUACAGAGACAUUCUAACUUGCUUGUUUCUGCAGUUUCACAUAGAGCAGUUGUAACCGCAGACACAUUAGGUUGAGUAGCAGUUGGUGAGAUAACAAUAGUUUGAUCAAACCAGAUAGAAAAUGUGGUGUUUUUUUUAUUUUAUUUUUUUAUCUGCCAUAUUAGGUCAGACUCUACUGUUACCUGACCCACUGCUGCCCAACCUAAUAACCUAAGUUGGUCAGCUAACAAUCGAAUCUUUGAAUCUGACCCAACAUGGCUGCUCAGCC
This is a non-coding RNA of Pelobates cultripes (western spadefoot toad), 788 nucleotides long. NCBI's taxonomy places the organism in Eukaryota, Metazoa, Chordata, Amphibia, Anura, Pelobatidae. The record is from the annotation of a GenBank genome assembly.